GACUGCGUAGCUCAGUUGGAAGAGCAUUGGGCUAGUAUUCCAAAGGUCGUAGGUUCGAAUCCUACCGUUGCCG
RNAcentral lists this transfer RNA (73 nucleotides) under Paramuricea clavata. It matches the Rfam family "tRNA". Rfam says of the family: Transfer RNA (tRNA) molecules are approximately 80 nucleotides in length. The record is from Rfam by way of RNAcentral. Lineage: Eukaryota; Metazoa; Cnidaria; Anthozoa; Malacalcyonacea; Plexauridae.